UGAGGAAUAUUGCCCAAUGGACGCAAGUCUGAGGCAGCAACGCCGCGUGGGCGACGAAGGCCUUCGGGUUGUAAAGCCCUUUUCUGGGGACGAGAAAGGACGGUACCUCAGGAAUAAGUCACGGCUAACUACGUGCCAGCAGCCGCGGUAAUACGUAGGUGGCUAGCGUUAUCCGGAUUCACUGGGCGUAAAGCGCGUGCAGGCGGUUCCGUAAGUCGGACGUGAAAGCUCCUGGCUUAACUGGGAGAGGUCGUUCGAUACUGCGGGGCUUGAGGUCGGGAGAGGGACGUGGAAUUCCCGGUGUAGUGGUGGAAUGCGUAGAUAUCGGGAGGAACACCAGUGGCGAAGGCGGCGUCCUGGCCCGCACCUGACGCUAAGACGCGAAAGCGUGGGUAGCGAACGGGAUUAGAUACCCCGGUAGUCCACGCUGUAAACGGUGGAUACUAGGUGUUGGUGGCUAUCGUCAUCAGUGCCGUAGCUAACGCGUUAAGUAUCCCGCCUGGGGACUACGGCCGCAAGGCUA
RNAcentral lists this ribosomal RNA (523 nucleotides) under uncultured bacterium. RNAcentral's name for it is "bacterial SSU rRNA". It matches the Rfam family "Bacterial small subunit ribosomal RNA", at positions 355 to 896 of the family's 1533-position model. The record is from RNAcentral.